GGGGCGGUGGCGCAGUUGGUUAGCGCGUCGGUCUCAUAAUCCGGAGGUCGAGAGCUCGAGCCUCUCUCGCCCCA
Molecule: transfer RNA, 74 nt
Filed under: Marchantia polymorpha subsp. ruderalis
Lineage: Eukaryota; Viridiplantae; Streptophyta; Marchantiopsida; Marchantiales; Marchantiaceae
Description: tRNA-Met
Rfam family: tRNA
About the family: Transfer RNA (tRNA) molecules are approximately 80 nucleotides in length. Their secondary structure includes four short double-helical elements and three loops (D, anti-codon, and T loops). Further hydrogen bonds mediate the characteristic L-shaped molecular structure. tRNAs have two regions of fundamental functional importance: the anti-codon, which is responsible for specific mRNA codon recognition, and the 3' end, to which the tRNAs corresponding amino acid is attached (by aminoacyl-tRNA synthetases). tRNAs cope with the degeneracy of the genetic code in two manners: having more than one tRNA (with a specific anti-codon) for a particular amino acid; and 'wobble' base-pairing, i.e. permitting non-standard base-pairing at the 3rd anti-codon position.
Source: RNAcentral